RNAcentral lists this unclassified non-coding RNA (202 nucleotides) under Bartonella clarridgeiae 73. RNAcentral's name for it is "speF". The stretch from base 4 to 150 matches the Rfam family "Alphaproteobacterial sRNA ar45". Lineage: Bacteria; Pseudomonadati; Pseudomonadota; Alphaproteobacteria; Hyphomicrobiales; Bartonellaceae. The record is from RNAcentral.
AUUGCCCAAAGUCGCACGUGCCUGUGGGUGUCCGCUGGUUCUCAAAUGGUGAGAUUAACCGGUACGGUACCUGGAACUAACCGCUCCAGUCAUUCUUACGGCCAAUCGAAAGAAUGAGGACAUCUUGAAGCAACGACGGUGCGGGCCUUUCUGGUGUCUUCCAGCUGUCCAAAUGCUGGGAUAACUAUAGAGGCACACCUCA